UUUUUGUGUUAUAUUGACACUUCACGACGUGAGCUACACCUCUCUAUUCGUCGGCAGCGUCAGAUGUGUAUAAGAGACAGGAUGUGGGGUUGCGAAGACAACCAGGAUGUUGGCUUAGAAGCAGCCACUCAUUAAAAGAGUGCGUAAUAGCUCACUGGUCGAGUGACCCUGCGCCGAAAAUUUAACGGGGCUAAACCAUGUACCGAAGCUUGGGAUUCCGUAUGCUGAACAAUGCGUACAAGGGAGGAAAGAGAGGAGAAUAUAGCGACGGCGAAAAGCCGGCGCGAAAUUCCUUUCGCUGAACAUGUACGGGAUUGUUCAGUAUACGGAGUGGUAGGAGAGCGUUGCAUAUGGGGUGAAGUCAGAGCGGAAGCGCUGGUGGACUGUAUGGAAGUGAGAAUGCCGGAAUGAGUAGCGAGAAUUAUGUGAGAAUCAUAAUGGCCGAAAAUCUAAGGUUUUUGAAGGAAGGUUCGUCCGCUUCAAGAUAGUCGGGAGCUAAGGCGAGGCCGAGAGGCGUAGUCGAUGCACAAACGGUGGAUAUUCCGUUACCGUCCAAAGAUUUAAGCAGAGGGACACUUUGAAAGGGCAUGACCCGGGCGAUGGUAGCCCCGGGCGUAAGGGACUGAACUUAUAGUAGGGAAGCAUGCUUGGACGAAGGCGAGAAAAGCUCUGUGUAUAUCGAGGAUGCCCGUACCGCAAACCGACACAGGUAGAUAGGAAGAGGAUUCUAAGGCCAACGGGAGAAGGGUAGUUAAGGAACUCGGCAAAUUGACCCCGUAACUUCGGGAAAAGGGGUGCUCCAGAGAUGGAGCCGCAGUGAAUAGGCCCAGGCAACUGUUUAGCAAAAACACAGGUCUCUGCGAAAUCGAAAGAUGAAGUAUAGGGGCUGACACCUGCCCAGUGCUGGAAGGUUAAGAGGAGGGGUGCAAGCUCCGAAUCGAAGCCCCAGUGAACGGCGGCCGUAACUAUAACGGUCCUAAGGUAGCGAAAUUCCUUGUCGGGUAAGUUCCGACCCGCACGAAUGGUGUAAUGAUCUGGGCACUGUCUCAACUACCCGCCCGGCGAAAUUGUAGUACCGGUGAAGAUGCCGGUUACCCGCAACAAGACGGAAAGACCCCAUGGAGCUUUACUGUAGCUUAAUAUUGGGUUACGAUACUUUAUGUACAGGAUAGGCGGGAGACUUGGAAGCUAGGGCGCCAGCCUUAGUGGAGUCACCCUUGGGAUACCGCUCUUAAAGUAUUGGAAUUCUAACCUGCGGCCGUGAAUCCGGCCGGGGGACAUUGUUAGGUGGGCAGUUUGACUGGGGCGGUCGCCUCCUAAAAGGUAACGGAGGCGCUCAAAGGUUCGUUCAGCACGGACGGAAAUCGUGCAGUGAGUGUAAACGCAUAAACGAGCCUAACUGCGAGACCGACGGGUCGAGCAGUAACGAAAGUUGGAGUUAGUGAUCCGGCGGUAUGUGAGUGGAAAUGCCGUCGCUCAACGGAUAAAAGCUACCCUGGGGAUAACAGGCUGAUCUCCCCCAAGCGUCCACAGCGACGGGGAGGUUUGGCACCUCGAUGUCGGCUCGUCACAUCCUGGGGCUGAAUUC
Molecule: ribosomal RNA, 1588 nt
Filed under: metagenome
Description: bacterial LSU rRNA
Rfam family: Bacterial large subunit ribosomal RNA
Source: RNAcentral